RNAcentral lists this transfer RNA (78 nucleotides) under Candidatus Methanophagales archaeon. Its description in RNAcentral is "ANME-1 cluster archaeon tRNA-Met". It matches the Rfam family "tRNA". From Rfam's summary of the family: Transfer RNA (tRNA) molecules are approximately 80 nucleotides in length. Lineage: Archaea; Methanobacteriati; Methanobacteriota; Methanomicrobia; Candidatus Methanophagales. The record is from RNAcentral.
GGGCCCGUAGCUUAGUAUGGUUAGAGCGCCCGGCUCAUAACCGGGCGGUCAAGGGUUCAAAUCCCUUCGGGCCCACCA